GAUGAACGCUGGCGGCGUGCCCAAUACAUGCAAGUCGAGCGAACAGACGAGGAGCUUGCUCCUCUGACGUUAGCGGCGGACGGGUGAGUAACACGUGGAUAACCUACCUAUAAGACUGGGAUAACUUCGGGAAACCGGAGCUAAUACCGAAUAAUAUAUUGAACCGCAUGGUUCAAUAGUGAAAGACGGUUUUGCUGUCACUUAUAGAUGGAUCCGCGCCGCAUUAGCUAGUUGGUAAGGUAACGGCUUACCAAGGCAACGAUGCGUAGCCGACCUGAGAGGGUGAUCGGCCACACUGGAACUGAGACACGGUCCAGACUCCUACGGGAGGCAGCAGUAGGGAAUCUUCCGCAAUGGGCGAAAGCCUGACGGAGCAACGCCGCGUGAAUGAUGAAGGUCUUCGGAUCGUAAAACUCUGUUAUUAGGGAAGAACAAAUGUGUAAGUAACUAUGCACGUCUUGACGGUACCUAAUCAGAAAGCCACGGCUAACUACGUG
RNAcentral lists this ribosomal RNA (497 nucleotides) under uncultured bacterium. RNAcentral's name for it is "partial 16S ribosomal RNA". It matches the Rfam family "Bacterial small subunit ribosomal RNA", at positions 28 to 507 of the family's 1533-position model. The record is from RNAcentral.